GAUGAACGCUGGCGGCGUGCUUAACACAUGCAAGUCGAACGGGAAACCUUUUAUUGAAGCUUCUGCAGAUUUAGCUGGUUUCUAGUGGCGGACGGGUGAGUAACGCGUGGGUAACCUGCCUUAUACAGGGGGAUAACAGUCAGAAAUGGCUGCUAAUACCGCAUAAGCGCACAGAGCUGCAUGGCUCAGUGUGAAAAACUCCGGUGGUAUAAGAUGGACCCGCGUUGGAUUAGCUGGUUGGUGGGGUAACGGCCCACCAAGGCGACGAUCCAUAGCCGGCCGGAGAGGGGGAACGGCCACAUUGGGACUGAGACACGGACCAGACUCCGACGGGAGGCAGCAGUGGGGAAUAUUGCACAAUGGGGGAAACCCUGAUGCAGCGACGCCGCGUGAAGGAAGAAGUAUCUCGGUAUGUAAACUUCUAUCAGAAGGGAAGAUAAUGACGGUACCUGACUAAGAAGCCCCGGCUAACUACGUG
RNAcentral lists this ribosomal RNA (478 nucleotides) under uncultured bacterium. RNAcentral's name for it is "partial 16S ribosomal RNA". It matches the Rfam family "Bacterial small subunit ribosomal RNA", at positions 28 to 507 of the family's 1533-position model. The record is from RNAcentral.